This is an RNA transcript of Gossypium raimondii (Peruvian cotton), 1782 nucleotides long. It is a transcript of the gene named protein root UVB sensitive 3, with no coding region annotated. The record is from RefSeq and is a predicted model, not a curated record. NCBI's taxonomy places the organism in Eukaryota, Viridiplantae, Streptophyta, Magnoliopsida, Malvales, Malvaceae. The transcript is spliced from 15 exons.
CCAUGUUUUUAUUGACCUGGAACUCUAGUUUAACAGGAAGUACAUUAGUUUUGGAAGUCAGAAGAAUCUGAGCCGGAAUAGGAAUAGGAUCACUAACUUCACUUCUACUUUUAUUUAUUUAUGUUUGAGAAGUUGAGGAAUGGUGGAUGGAAGCUUCAAAGAUGACAAAGCACCCUCUCAUAAUUGAAGAAUGGAAUGGAUCUUCUUCUACCAAGCUUUUCAAAACCGCCACUAUCACUUUCUCCCCUUCUCUACAAAUCCAAAGAUCAGUUAAUGGUUUCAACCAUGUUUGGAGACGAUUCCUCGAUGCCUUCGUUCCCGAGGGUUUCCCAGGCAGUGUGACUCCAGAUUAUGUCCCUUUCCAAGUAUGGGACUCUUUGCAGGGACUUUCAACAUAUAUAAGAACAAUGCUUUCUACACAAGCUCUUUUGAGUGCUAUUGGAGUUGGUGAGAAAUCCGCAACUAUUAUAGGUGCAACUUUUCAGUGGUUCUUGAGAGAUCUAACGGGAAUGCUUGGAGGCAUAUUAUUCACACUUUAUCAGGGAUCAAAUCUUGAUAGUAAUGCAAAAAUGUGGCGUUUGGUCGCAGAUCUCAUGAAUGAUUUAGGAAUGUUGAUGGAUCUUCUUUCCCCUUUGUUCCCUUCAGCUUUUAUUUUCAUUGUUUGCUUAGGGAGCUUGUCAAGAUCAUUCACCAGUGUUGCCAGUGGAGCUACCAGAGCUGCUCUGACACAGCAUUUCGCCCUCCAAAAUAAUGCUGCGGAUAUAGCUGCCAAGGAAGGAAGCCAAGAGACAAUGGCAACAAUGAUUGGCAUGGCAUUGGGAAUGCUUCUUGCUCGCAUUACUACCGGAAACCCAGUCGCUAUUUGGUUUUCUUUUCUCUCUCUGACAAUGUUCCAUAUGUAUGCAAAUUACAAAGCUGUCAGGUGCCUCACUUUAGACUCACUGAACUUUGAGAGGAGUUCGAUUCUUCUACAACAUUUCAUAGAAUCUGGCCAAGUUCUCUCUCCUAAACAGGUUUCAACCAUGGAGCAUGUUUUGCCCUUAUGGACCACUUUAAGGUUGUCAAAGAGUGCUAAGCCCCUGCACACCAAUGUAAAACUAGGCUUAAGGGUCUCCACUCUUGAUCACUCUGAAAUGGCCAACUUUCUGACUUCAGCUGGAUCAUUUUACAAUGAAGUAUUUACUGGUGGAGAGAAAGGGAACGGUCAGUGUUGUCGUGCACAAAGAUUCGACAGCUGAAGAUAUCUUGAAGUCGUAUAUUCACGCACUUGUUAUGGUCAAUCUUACGGUUGAACAAAAAUCUCUACAUUUGGAGUGCCAAUCAUGGAUGGAUAAGCACUACGAAAGCUUUGUUCAGAAGCUAAAGUUAGCAGGGUGGAAAGCUGGAAGGCUUCUCUCUCACUCAAUCAUAUGGAAAGCACACUGGUCAUUGGGUGAAAAAACUGACUAAAACCACUUUAGUUUAUAUUACAGCAAACAUGUCAAAUGGCUACCUAUUAGAGUAAAUUACAGCAAAAAAGAAAAAAGGAAAUUCAAUUUCUUAUUCACUGCUUCAAUGGUGCAAAUCAGACAACCUGGUUUAAACUGAGCUCAUGUCCGAGAUGGAAUCGGCAAAGAAAAAUUUGGAAUUUCAGAUCCAACAACAGGGAGUCGAUGUGUAUGAGUUAGAGACUAAAAAAAGUCAUAAUUAUUUUUCUUUAAGAAUUUUAUAUUUGACAAAGUUUUAACCAUUUAUUUGGAACAUUUGUUUUAUUUACUGAAUUAUUAUCAUUCAUUUUGAGUA